Molecule: ribosomal RNA, 136 nt
Filed under: uncultured Inocybe
Lineage: Eukaryota; Fungi; Basidiomycota; Agaricomycetes; Agaricales; Cortinariaceae
Description: partial 28S ribsomal RNA
Rfam family: Eukaryotic large subunit ribosomal RNA
Source: RNAcentral
GACCUCAAAUCAGGUAGGACUACCCGCUGAACUUAAGCAUAUCAAUAACCGGAGGAAAAGAAACUAACAAGGAUUCCCCUAGUAACUGCGAGUGAAGCGGGAAAAGCUCAAAUUUGAAAUCUGGCGGUUUUUUGAC